Molecule: non-coding RNA, 30 nt
Filed under: Homo sapiens (human)
Lineage: Eukaryota; Metazoa; Chordata; Mammalia; Primates; Hominidae
Source: RNAcentral
UGAGACCACCUCAGCCUGGAUUUCAUUGUC